AUUAUUGAGAGUUUGAUCCUGGCUCAGGACGAACGCUGGCGGCGUGCCUAAUACAUGCAAGUCGAACGCAUUUUGUUUCACCGGAGCUUGCUCCACCGAAACAAAAUGAGUGGCGGACGGGUGAGUAA
Molecule: ribosomal RNA, 128 nt
Filed under: Vagococcus zengguangii
Lineage: Bacteria; Bacillati; Bacillota; Bacilli; Lactobacillales; Enterococcaceae
Description: partial 16S ribosomal RNA
Rfam family: Bacterial small subunit ribosomal RNA
Source: RNAcentral